GCAAUUCUUCUUAUUUUCAAAUUGAAUGAGAAACAGUAAAACAUAGAAUUGAAAACAAAACAAACCGAAUUGAAAACUGGAAAUAAAAUGAGAAACAAUAAAACUUGGGGAAUCUUCUCUCCUUCCGAUUCGCUCUAUUCCAGAUACAAGGGAGGCUACCGUUGGUUGAGAUUUGUUGCCUAGAGUUAGAAGGAUGUAAGUAAAACGGCACAUGUUUGGAGGUUUUACCGUCGUUGGGAAACAAUGGAUAUUCUUCGCGGAUAUAUGGAUUUCUCUGUGUACGUUGGUAUGUUGAGAGAGGCGCAUGGGUUUUGACUCUGAGGAGUGGGGAAGAAUGCGUGAGAUCGAGGCUGUGACUGCAACCUGCGACAGGUGAGAGAAGGGAAACAUCAGAGAAGGGUGAGGGAGUGCAAUAA
RNAcentral lists this unclassified non-coding RNA (416 nucleotides) under Hevea brasiliensis (rubber tree). The record is from RNAcentral. Lineage: Eukaryota; Viridiplantae; Streptophyta; Magnoliopsida; Malpighiales; Euphorbiaceae.